GAGUUUGAUCAUGGCUCAGAUUGAACGCUGGCGGCAUGCCUUACACAUGCAAGUCGAGCAGCAGCGCGGGGGCAACCCUGGCGGCGAGCGGCGAACGGGUGAGUAAUACAUCGGAACGUGUCCUGUCGUGGGGGAUAACCAGUCGAAAGAUUGGCUAAUACCGCAUGACCUCGUAAGAGAAAAGCGGGGGACCGUAAGGCCUCGCGCGACUGGAGCGGCCGAUGUCGGAUUAGUUAGUUGGCGGUGUAACGGACCACCAAGACGAUGAUCAGUAGGGGACCUGAGAGGGUGAUCCCCCACACUGGCACUGAGAUACGGGCCAGACUCCUACGGGAGGCAGCAGUAGGGAAUAUUGGACAAUGGGUGAGAGCCUGAUCCAGCCAUGCCGCGUGCAGGAAGAAGGCGUUAUGCGUUGUAAACUGCUUUUGCCAGGGGAUAAAAAA
Molecule: ribosomal RNA, 443 nt
Filed under: uncultured beta proteobacterium
Lineage: Bacteria; Pseudomonadati; Pseudomonadota; Betaproteobacteria
Description: bacterial SSU rRNA
Rfam family: Bacterial small subunit ribosomal RNA
Source: RNAcentral